AAGUAAACGGAAAAAUUUGUAGUUCCGCUAGAUUCUUUAACUUGAUGGUUUCACUCAGUUUAACGUCACAACUUCAUCGUCCUCCUCGUACUCAUGUCCUCUGCAACUUUAACCUAAAAUGAUCUCGGCAUGCGGUGAUAAAAGUGUGAAGUAACUUGCUGCAAUGAAUACUUAAACAUGAACUUUUGCGGCAGUGCACUGCGACUGUGACUGUGGGGUGAGUUCAUUGAACACACGUAACAAUGGCUGGUGCAGUUGGCAUGCCUGAGCGGGAGACACCGAUUUUUUCCAGCAACAAUGUCCGUCCAAGGUUGGAUGUCUAUGUUUGGGACAUGGAUGAGACGCUUGUACUACUCAACUCCUUGCUGAAAUCAUCAUACGCAGAGGCUUUCAACGGUCUGAAGGAUGUGCAGAAGGGAGUUGAAAUCGGGAGGAUGUGGGAAAAUCUCAUUCUACAAACAUGUGAUGAUUAUUUCUUCUAUGAACAAAUUGAAAAUUACAAUAAGCCAUUUCUUGAUUCUCUGGCCCAAUAUGAUGAUGGGAGCGACUUAUCUGAUUAUGACUUCAACAAAGAUGAAUUAGGUGCCCCUCAAGAUGAUGCCAACAAAAGAAAACUUGCAUAUAGGCAUCGAGUCAUUGCCCAAAAGUACAUACAGGGUUUACGGAAUAUUUUAGAUCAAGAGACAAUAAAACACUGGGAUGAAUUGUAUGAUAAAACUGAUGAAUACACUGACAGGUGGCUUUCAUCAGCACGAACCUUUUUGAAGGAGUGUUUGGGUGAAGAUGAAGAUGCAGUUUCUUCAAUUGCUUCUUCUGAUACCAGCUAUAACUCAACUAAUGUAAAGCAUGUUAAUGUUUUAGUGACCUCUGGAUCGUUAAUUCCCUCACUUGUGAAAUGCCUGCUCUUUCGUCUGGACAGCUUGAUAAGCCAUGGAAAUGUUUAUAGUUCAUGGGAAGUGGGAAAAAUUCAAUGUUUCCGAUGGAUCAAGGAGCGUUUCAACCAUCCUAAUGUUCGCUUUUGUGUAUUUGGAGAUGGAUGGGAAGAAUGUGAAGCUGCAGAAAUCAUGAGAUGGCCAUUUGUUAAGAUUGAUCCACGGCCAGGAAAACUUCACAGGUUCCCUGGUCUUACUUUGACAACAGUUAGCCACUACUUUUCUGUGGUGUAUGGAAGGCCAAACAAUGAGAAUGAAGAUGGUUGACCCAUGAUCUUCAUCUCAUCUACACUUUUCUGGUAUUCAUGUCUGUACCAAUAAUAUAAAAUGAAUGCAGCAGCAUAACCAGCAAUUGUGUUACCAAGUGUAUGCAUUGCUUCCGUGAGAUGGCUAUCAAUCUCAGGUAACAGGAAGCCACUUCUAAGUUUCGUUUCAUGAUGCAUUGCGGAUGCAUUGCUGACAUCAAUAUUUAUGUGCUUAUGGCUGGUGCUUCGCAAAGUGUUAGCUUCAUCUUCAUUUGCAAGUUUAGAUAAUGGAGUUUGGCCUCACAUUCACAGAGCAGUAUCUGAUGUGGAAUGGCCGUCAACUAUAACUAUAGGAUAAAAUUCCUGAUGUGAUUCUGAGAAUUGACCAAAAGAUUAUAAAGAUUUUUUGAGGUCUUCGUCAAUUUUUAAAUCUCAGAAGGUAGGUCCUCAUUUUGCCAGAUUAAUCUGAAGCUGCAUGGCUGGUGUUAAGUCCACUUUUCCCUCCAGCACGCCUGUUAUCAUAUCAAUUAAACAACUUGUCUUCUUGCCAAAAGAUAAGUCCUAAAAUGGUAUUGGUAUGGUAUACCUUGGGAUUUGACAUGCACUGUAUAUUGUUCUGACAUUUGAGAUAUACACAAAAUCUAUCCUCUGUUGUCCUUUACUCUGUUUGAGACAAUGAAUUGGUUCGAAUUAAGGAUAAGAUCAUUCGAUAAUUUAU
This is an RNA transcript of Vigna radiata var. radiata (mung bean), 1895 nucleotides long. It is a transcript of the gene named eyes absent homolog 2, with no coding region annotated. Lineage: Eukaryota; Viridiplantae; Streptophyta; Magnoliopsida; Fabales; Fabaceae. The record is from RefSeq and is a predicted model, not a curated record. The transcript is spliced from 7 exons.